RNAcentral lists this ribosomal RNA (253 nucleotides) under uncultured bacterium. RNAcentral describes it as "partial 16S ribosomal RNA". It matches the Rfam family "Bacterial small subunit ribosomal RNA", at positions 524 to 776 of the family's 1533-position model. The record is from RNAcentral.
UACGUAGGGCGCAAGCGUUGUCCGGAAUUAUUGGGCGUAAAGAGCUCGUAGGCGGCCAGUUGCGUCCGCUGUGAAAACCCGGGGCUCAACCCCGGGCUUGCAGUGGAUACGGGCUGGCUAGAGGCAGGCAGGGGAGAACGGAAUUCCCGGUGUAGCGGUGAAAUGCGCAGAUAUCGGGAGGAACACCGGUGGCGAAGGCGGUUCUCUGGGCCUGUACUGACGCUGAGGAGCGAAAGCGUGGGGAGCGAACAGG